RNAcentral lists this ribosomal RNA (460 nucleotides) under uncultured bacterium. Its description in RNAcentral is "partial 16S ribosomal RNA". It matches the Rfam family "Bacterial small subunit ribosomal RNA", at positions 28 to 505 of the family's 1533-position model. The record is from RNAcentral.
GACGAACGCUGGCGGCGUGCUUAACACAUGCAAGUCGAACGGUGAAGCCCUUCGGGGUGGCUCAGUGGCGAACGGGUGAGUAACACGUGAGCAACCUGCCCCUGGCUCUGGGACAACCACUGGAAACGGUGGCUAAUACCGGAUACGACCCGCCUCGGCAUCGAGUGUGGGUGGAAAGUUUUUCGGCUGGGGAUGGGCUCGCGGCCUAUCAGCUUGUUGGUGAGGUGAAGGCUCACCAAGGCGGCGACGGGUAGCCGGCCUGAGAGGGCGACCGGCCACACUGGGACUGAGACACGGCCCAGACUCCUACGGGAGGCAGCAGUGGGGAAUAUUGCACAAUGGGCGAAAGCCUGAUGCAGCGACGCCGCGUGAGGGAUGACGGCCUUCGGGUUGUAAACCUCUUUCAGCUCCGAAGAAGCGAAAGUGACGGUAGGAGCAGAAGAAGCACCGGCUAACUACG